This is a non-coding RNA of Schizosaccharomyces pombe (fission yeast), 172 nucleotides long. The record is from the annotation of a GenBank genome assembly. NCBI's taxonomy places the organism in Eukaryota, Fungi, Ascomycota, Schizosaccharomycetes, Schizosaccharomycetales, Schizosaccharomycetaceae.
CUCCGAAUGAACCCAUUUCCUUUCAUUCAGUUCCAUAGUUUAAAAACCCCAUAUUCUCUAAUGGCCAUGAAACGUUCGCUAGUUGGCAGAUUUUCGAGUAUAAACAAAAAAGAUUGGUUGAAGAAUUUCGGCAACAGUUUACUUUAAUUAAUUCAUUUUAAAUAACUAUAAA